AUACGGAGGAUCCGAGCGUUAUCCGGAUUUAUUGGGUUUAAAGGGUGCGCAGGCGGCCAUUUAAGUCAGCGGUUAAAUCGUGGGGCUCAACCCCAUUCUGCCGUUGAUACUGGGUGGCUUGAUUGCGGUCGAGGUUGGCGGAAUUCGUUGUGUAGCGGUGAAAUGCAUAGAUAUGACGAAGAACACCGAUUGCGUAGGCAGCUGACCAGACCGCAAAUGACGCUCAUGCACGAAAGUGCGGGGAUCGAACAGGAUUAGAUACCUUGGUAGUCCGCACAGUAAACGAUGAAUACUUGUUUUCGGCGAUAUAAUGUCGGAGGCAAAGCGAAAGCGAUAAGUAUUCCACCUGGGGAGUACGCCGGCAACGGUGAAACUCAAAGGAAUUGACGGGG
This 392-nucleotide ribosomal RNA is filed under the name uncultured bacterium. Its description in RNAcentral is "partial 16S ribosomal RNA". It matches the Rfam family "Bacterial small subunit ribosomal RNA", at positions 523 to 918 of the family's 1533-position model. The record is from RNAcentral.